GACGAACGCUGGCGGCGUGCUUAACACAUGCAAGUCGUACGGUAAGGCCCUUUCGGGGGUACACGAGUGGCGAACGGGUGAGUAACACGUGAGUAACCUGCCCACAACUUUGGGAUAACGCUAGGAAACUGGUGCUAAUACUGGAUAUGUGCUCCUGCUGCAUGGUGGGGGUUGGAAAGCUCCGGCGGUUGUGGAUGGACUCGCGGCCUAUCAGCUUGUUGGUGGGGUAGUGGCCUACCAAGGCGGCGACGGGUAGCCGGCCUGAGAGGGUGACCGGCCACAUUGGGACUGAGAUACGGCCCAGACUCCUACGGGAGGCAGCAGUGGGGUAUAUUGCACAAUGGGCGCAAGCCUGAUGCAGCAACGCCGCGUGCGGGAUGACGGCCUUCGGGUUGUAAACCGCUUUCAGCAGGGACGAAGCUUUUUGUGACGGUACCUGCAGAAGAAGCACCGGCUAACUACGUG
This 465-nucleotide ribosomal RNA is filed under the name uncultured bacterium. RNAcentral describes it as "partial 16S ribosomal RNA". It matches the Rfam family "Bacterial small subunit ribosomal RNA", at positions 28 to 507 of the family's 1533-position model. The record is from RNAcentral.